This is a long non-coding RNA of Sebastes umbrosus (honeycomb rockfish), 4085 nucleotides long. RefSeq lists it as uncharacterized. NCBI's taxonomy places the organism in Eukaryota, Metazoa, Chordata, Actinopteri, Perciformes, Sebastidae. The record is from RefSeq and is a predicted model, not a curated record. The transcript is spliced from 7 exons.
AAUGAACUAGGCGCGGCCAAAAAGGAGCCCCAUCCAUCUAUCACACGUGUAGACAAAGAGGGGACUCCACAACACAAAGCUGGAUGUUGCCCUCUCACAAACUUUUUCCUGCGACUCACAACGACGCGCGCAAAAACUGCAAAAACACCCUGCAGGAUCUGUGUCCUUAGGUGGAUUUUAACACCAGAUUAACCAGCGAAGCGUUUUCUCCUGCUUGGAGGUUAAGGAAAGAAAAAUAUGUGGAAAUCACAUGGAAGAUGUACCGAGUCACCUAUCAAGCGGCUUUUGAGACGCAGAGGAGGAUUAAGAGACUGUGCAGUUUGCUUUUUAGAGAAGGUGAAGACUCAUCUCAUGAGGAUUUAAACUUCAGGAGCAGCAGUGCCAGGCGGGAUGCAUUUCAGGCACACUUGGAAAUCUGAAAAACUCAUGGAGACACUUUGAGGAUUAUAAAGAUGUGCAGCGUGUGUCUCUCUCCACAAGACAACAUCCCUGCAGCCCAAAGCCACCGGGAUAGCAGGAUAUUGCAUGUAUGAUCCUCCUCGGCCCUCCGCAUUGGGAGUGUGGGAGUGGUGAGGUCUGGGAGAUCACGACCUUAAUUCUCUCCAAGACAGACGGUUUAAUUAACACUGGAGGAAUUCUCACCGGCUCCAGACCUCUACAACAGGGAAUGUACAGGGGAAUUGGAUUGCCAAGAUACAUUCUUUACAACGCCCACGACCUCUGGCUGUGCAACUACAGCCACUGAUGAGGAAGCAACAAUGCAGACAGAAAUGUAGGCCUCCUUCUGCAUAGUCCACAUUGCGAGAAGACCACCUCACAGGGAUUUUCCCCUUCACCAGGUGUGGCAUAGUGAGAGUCAGCGGUGAAGAUCACCUGGUCUAGACAGGACUAUCAGGAUCUGCAAAGAAACCUGCGUCGAAACGGAAAAGAAAAUGAAGAUGAAGAGGAAAACAGCUUGACAGAGUUAACGGUUAAUUAUGCACAUUUGUCACAUAUACGGUAACAUCCGAUUGUUCGUCAUCUCCGUUGUCAUAACUUCUUCGACUGCAACUCAGGUGUUUCGCUUUUAAAUAUAUUGGAAACAUCUGGUGUCUUUUGAGUACAAAUUAGAAGUUUAGGAUGUGCAAUCUUCUCAAGCGUUACUUUUCACAAGAUAUCACUGGCUGUAAAUAAGUUCGAAAAUCAUUAUACAUUGAUGUUAUUUUGUAUGUGUGAUAUGGUGAGAAUCAUAACAACUCUUGCUGUAAAGUUUCUCAAAAAUGAAAUAAUCCUUAAUUGCAUAUUCAGGAUGUGUUUUACUAUACGUGUGUAUGAUGGAUUUGAAAAAAGCCUAUUCUUGUUCAUGUUCACUGACGCGUGGGAAAGUGCUGUUUAUUUGCUGUCCACAUUUUUAUUCCACGAAUACUAUACAUGCUCCUCUUUACGGUACAUAGCUUUCUCCUAACGCUUCUCAUGUAUGUACAUGUGAAAGAACAUGCGGUCAGAACAAUGUAUGCAUCUAAGGAUUUACGGUGUUACACCGCUUUGACAACCCUAGUGUCUGGUACAAUAACAUAUUCAUGUAUGUGCACUGUAUCUGUUAAGAAGUGUGAUCCCAAUUUGGUCACGGGGGAACGAAGACAACAUUAAGGACGUGUACUCAUACAAUAUGUACAGCUCUGCGGAGAAAUAUUCCCAGAUUAUAGAGCUCUAAUAUGACAAUAUAUGUACAGCGUUCCACUUUUAUCAUUGUAACAUAGAUUAUUAAUGAAUAUUGUAUAGUUCUGCGAAAAAUCGAGGUAAUAUAAGGUUGAAUAAGGAUUUUAAUGGUUACUCAACCGACUCAUGGAAACAUGGACUACACGUUUCAUUAUGAGAAUCUACCAGCCGUGUGGGAAUGAUGCAAUAUAAAGUGUACCUCUUCCUUUACUACAUCUUCCACAUCUGUGCUUUAAAGAGUUGAGUGCCUUGCCACAGGGUGCUAUGGUAAUGAUGGUGGUGACUUGAGAUGCUGUGAGCAAUGCGUCAUACAUACAAAGGUGUUUUAAAUUAUGAAGUAAAUAUCUUGUUAAAGCUAGGGUUGGUAAUUUUAAGAAAUUAGCAAGAAUACUCUAGAAUAUAAAAAUGAUCUAACCGAAAAUCCCAGCUCAGUGUUGUCAACUGUUUUCCAGUGAAAGUGUACUACGGACAGCGCCGCACCUACACACGCACACCCGGCCCCUACACACAACAAACAGUGAAGUGAUAGUCACAUGUAUCUCGGCCAGUAAUGUUGUUAUUUUUGCUAUUUUUCUACAGAUACAUAAAGCAUUAACAGAGGGGGCAAAACAAUUCAACUAAGACCCCUCGUGGUGCUGGGCCCGAGGAGAACUAGAAUAGCUGCGUAGAGUAGAACUAGAAUGGCUAUGUGCGAGUGUGACCGUGAUUCAUGCUCAUGCAUGUCAACGAGCCGGGCCUCGCAUAUCGAGUUGGCACAUGGCCUCGCACCCCCCUGGGACGGCCCUAUAGAAACCACCUUUCAACAGUAAUAAUGGGUCUACUUUAGUUACCAUCUGCAAUUAUGUGGUUCCCUUUUUUGACUGUACAGUCCACAUUAUCCUUAUUUAUUCAUUUUCUUUCAUUAAACAUCAUAUAUUUUCAUGACAAAACUCUUUUCAUUUGCAACUUAUUGACUAUAUUUACCCUUACAUCAGGUAACAAUUAUAUUUGGUUUCUUCUUUUUGUAAUAUCUCGUAAAGCCUGGAUAUUGUUAAUGUUUUGAUGACUUGACACUAAGAAACUAUGCUAGCAGCUCUAUGGGGCUAGACAUGCUUUGAAGAUGCUUUUAAGCUUAAUGCUAAAAUAUUGAAAAUUACUAAAAUGCUAAUGUCAUCCAUGUUCAUCUUGGAAGGGCAUUAGUUUGGUCAUGUUUGUACACAAUUAGAUGGCAAUCAAUCCAAUAGUUGCCAAGACAUUUCACUAAAAACCACAAAUGUCAACCACAUAGGGGCACUAAAGGAAAGGUCAGGGGAUCACUAGGAUACAUCAUCUAGAAGCCAUAAAUAUCUGUACACAUUUUCAACCUAAAUAUGUUGUAGAUGUUGGAGUUACUGGAAUUACUGGUUUUACUGGAGAUGAAAAGUCAGGGGAUCACCAAAGUCACGAUUUCAUCCUCAUGGGAACCAUGGAUUUCUGCACAAAAUUUCAUGACAAUCCAUUUGAUAGUUUUUGAGAUAGUUCAGUAUGGACCAAAGUGGAUGCCCUCAUGGCUACUUAACAGCUUUCCGUGUUUAAACCUGUCAUAUUGAAGAAAACAUUUCUUUUUCCUUAAAUAAGAAAACAACAUGUAGAGAAUCCAAAAUACCAGAGCUGGGUUAGCCCUAUCGCACGCCUGCAGUGAACAGUUUUGAAGCCUCUCUAUCUGCCUCCUUCCAUCUCUGUCUGUGGUUACUAACCCCGGCUACAGUGGUCAGACGUGGGCCCACUAUGUUUUCCACGGACAGUUUAUCACACUUCCUUUCCCUCUGCUCUGGGCCCCCAGUCAGUCUGCCAGACAGGAAAAUCAAAAGACUUUGGGACAUACUAUUACAGUGCAAAUGGUAUAUUGCACUGUACAGCAUGCUGAUGAUAUAUACCAUUAAAGUCUCACCAGUAAACACAAAACAGGAAGGAGGUCUGAGCUUAGUUUCCCUUUAACAGCCCUCACAAGUGAACAUAAAUGUCUGAAUCACACAUUGGAUUGAUUGAAAGUGAGUCAAAAUGAGCCUCUGGCCUGCAUAUCGGAUGGUAUGGAAUUGAAUGGGUGGUAAAAUGGUUUUACUUGAAUGUCUGUGAAUGUUAUUCCGUUGGAACUGUGUGGAGUUGAAUUUCAUUAAAUAAAGUGUUUAAUAAAUCAUUUGAGAUUCAGUUGAUUUCACCAUCAUUAUAUGGUAUGGAUCUAAAUGCCAGGUAAAGGGAUUUCAUUAUUUUCUAGGGCAGUUUGUCAAACGUUCUGUCAACCUAUAGCCUGGCUUAAAAAAGAAAAAAACCCUCUGCCUUCAGAUCUGUCCAACAUCUGGCUUUAUUCCUGCGAGAUGCUAUCUGGAUCAUGUAUUGUGCUUGAAACGUAAAAUCCGCUUUAAUAAAAA